Molecule: long non-coding RNA, 1605 nt
Filed under: Homo sapiens (human)
Lineage: Eukaryota; Metazoa; Chordata; Mammalia; Primates; Hominidae
Description: long intergenic non-protein coding RNA 2476
Source: RNAcentral
GGGUUUCCGCUAUUGUUUCGUCCUCAUUUUCUCUUGCUGCUACCAUGGAAGAAGCGACUUUCGCCUCCCGCCGUGAUUCUGAGGCCUUUCCAGCCAUGUCAAACUCAAAAUGUGACUGAAAAACAGAAGCAUUUGGAAUACGUAACAGAAGUCAUUAAAAAGAGCCAUGUAAUAUGUGCCUGCUUCCCCUUCUGCCAUGAUUGUAAGUUUCCUGAUGCCUUCUCAGCCAUGCAGAACUAGUCUCACUCUAUUGCUCAGGCUGGAGUCAGUGGCGCAAUCUCAGCUCACUCCAACCUCCGCCUCAUGGGUUCAAAUGAUUCUCCUGCCUCAGCCUCCCAAGUAGAUGGGAUUACAGGCACAUGCCCCCAUGCCCAGCUAAUUUUUGUGUUUUUAGUAGAGACUAGGGUUUCACCAUGUUAGCCAGGCUGUUCUCAGACUCCUGACCUCAGGUGAUCCACCUGCCUCGGCCUUCCAAAGUGCUGGGAUUACAGGCAUGAGCCACUGCACCAAGCCUUAUUCUAUUGAUUAUUAUAAGAAGUGUUAACAUCUUGAACUAUGAUUAUAUAUUCAUCAAUUUAAGCAUAUACAUUUGAUUUUGUUAAGUCCUCCUGAAGAAGUCUGUUUAUAAUAUUAAAUAUCCUAGUUGAUCACUGUUUUAAAAUUUACUUUUUUAUAUAUUUUUUUUCACUUAAUGUAACUCUGAUCAAUGCUACUUCAGUAUGCCUGGAAGUGGAAAUUACAAUGUGGAUAUUUUUAAUGAGGAAAAAACUGGCUUUUAAUUUUCAAGUGAGUCUUAUGUACUCCCCCACAUAUUUAGACAUAUAUGUAUGUGUGCACGUGUGCCUAUAUAUACUUAUAUACUUCAUAUAUAUAUACACACACACAUAUAUGUGAAGAGAGAGAGAAUAUGUAUACACACAUACCACAUUUAGCAAGUUUUUAAGUACUUUAGGUGUCGAGCUGUGAAUGAGAAAAAAGAGCAGGGAAUUCAAAUAAAAAUAAUGUGGACUUAAUAUAAUUACUGGUAAUCUUAGAUUUUGUUUCUAUUUACUGUUGAAUUUUAGGUAAAAAUUCAGAAUAUCUUAGAAUAGCUCAUCAAAUUUCCAGUCCAUGAUAUAACCCAGCCCCAUCCCAUAGAACAUGAUACACUGAUUUUUACAUAUUAUAGUUCUUUUAUAUAUUUAGUGAGAAGCAUUAUUUAUCAAUUUUCUUUAAUGUCUUAUUGUAUUGUGUAUUAUAUAAAUAAUUCUAUCAGUAUAUUCCUGUUUAAAAAUGAUUUUUGUAAGGCUUCACUAAGUUGAAAUUUCCAGACAAAGAAAAAGUUGUACCGUCCCUUUUUUCCUUUAACGGAAUCAAGUAAAUCUGAAUGUGUUAGUGGUCUACAUUUCCACUGAGGAUAAUUGACAGACACUGAGGUCUCUCCUUUUAAGUAACUGUCAAAGAGUAUCCUAAGAGGCUCUAGGGAAUAUGGUAAGCGAUUGCUAAUGAUGUUUAUGUGUCUAAAUAUCAUCCUAACAAUGUAACACUCUCCCAUUAACAAAAUUGUUUCUACAAUUACCAUCAACAUUAUUCCAAUAAAUGUAAUCUUGUUAUUUCAUUAUGAAA